UACGUAGGUCCCGAGCGUUAUCCGGAUUUAUUGGGCGUAAAGCGAGGGCAGGCGGUUAGAUAAGUUUGAAGUGAAAGGCCGUGGCUUAACCAUAGUAUGCUUUGGAAACUGUUUAACUUGAGUUCAGAAGGGGAGAGUGGAAUUCCAUGUGUAGCGGUGAAAUGCGUAGAUAUAUGGAGGAACACCGGUGGCGAAGGCGGCUAUCUGGUCUGUAACUGACGCUGAGGCUCGAAAGCGUGGGGAGCAAACAGG
Molecule: ribosomal RNA, 252 nt
Filed under: uncultured bacterium
Lineage: Bacteria
Description: partial 16S ribosomal RNA
Rfam family: Bacterial small subunit ribosomal RNA
Source: RNAcentral